CCUACGGGUGGCAGCAGUGGGGAAUAUUGCACAAUGGGGGGAACCCUGAUGCAGCAAUGCCGCGUGAAGGAUGAAGGUUUUCGGAUUGUAAACCUCCUUUGUACGGGACGAAGAAAGUGACGGUACUGUAAGAAUAAGACACGGCUAAUAACGGGGCAGCAGCCGCGGCAAUACGUAGGUGGCAAGCGUUAUUCGGAUUUACUGGGUGUAAAGGGCGAGUAGGCGGGAUUGGAAGUCAGAUGUGAAAACUGUGGGCUCAACCGAUAGAGUGCAUUUGAGACUGCAGUGCUUGAGGGAUGGAGGGGCAGGCGGAAUUCCCGGUGUAGCGGUGGAAUGCGUAGAUAUCGGGAGGAACACCGGUGGCGAAGGCGGCCUGCUGGACAUUAACUGACGCUGAGGCACGAAAGCGUGGGGAGCAAACAGGAUUAGAUACCCUUGUAGUC
Molecule: ribosomal RNA, 443 nt
Filed under: uncultured bacterium
Lineage: Bacteria
Description: partial 16S ribosomal RNA
Rfam family: Bacterial small subunit ribosomal RNA
Source: RNAcentral